GAUGAAGAACGUAGCGAAAUGCGAUAAGUAAUGUGAAUUGCAGAAUUCAGUGAAUCAUCGAAUCUUUGAACGCACAUUGCGCCCGCUAGUAUUCUGGCGGGCAUGCCUGUCCGAGCGUCAUUUCAACCCUCAAGCCCCCGGGCUUGGAGUUGGGGAUCGGCGAGCCUCCGCGCCCGCCGUCCCCUAAAUCUAGUGGCGGUCUCGCUGUAGCUUCCUCUGCGUAGUAGCACACCUCGCACUGGGAAACAGCGCGGCCACGCCGUUAAACCCCCAACUUCUGAACGUUUGACCUCGGAUCAGGUAGGAAUACCCGCUGAACUUAAGCAUAUCAAUAAGCGGAGGA
This 343-nucleotide unclassified non-coding RNA is filed under the name soil metagenome. Its description in RNAcentral is "partial contains 5.8S ribosomal RNA, internal transcribed spacer 2, and large subunit ribosomal RNA". The stretch from base 1 to 120 matches the Rfam family "5.8S ribosomal RNA", at positions 35 to 154 of the family's 154-position model. The record is from RNAcentral.